Molecule: long non-coding RNA, 338 nt
Filed under: Callithrix jacchus (white-tufted-ear marmoset)
Lineage: Eukaryota; Metazoa; Chordata; Mammalia; Primates; Cebidae
Description: lncRNA (ENSCJAG00000070307.1)
Source: RNAcentral
AAAUUCUCUGUCUUUUUCCUAAUGAAGAUUACAGUUCCUAUCUUCACAGGUGCAGUUAGCUCUAAAUGAACUCACUGAUUUUUAAAGCAAGUUUUCAAGUAUAGUUUUAAACUACAACCAUUUCAGAAGUGCUGACCCAUGACUCAAAUCUCAAAAAGAAAUGCUACAGUUCACUGUUGGAAUGCGGACUUAAGAAAAAUAACAGAUGAUGCCACCAAAAGGGGAAAAUUUAACAGAAGGACACUGCUGAACCUGUGGGGACAAAGGAAGCGUGAAUCUUUCAUCAUAAAAGCCUUCUUGCUGAAUUCUUCCUUAACUUCAAAAACUAAAAAAGGGGC